RNAcentral lists this ribosomal RNA (515 nucleotides) under Pleosporales sp. OTU11 TS-2013. RNAcentral's name for it is "partial 28S rRNA". It matches the Rfam family "Eukaryotic large subunit ribosomal RNA", at positions 118 to 648 of the family's 3401-position model. Lineage: Eukaryota; Fungi; Ascomycota; Dothideomycetes; Pleosporales. The record is from RNAcentral.
AAAUCUGNCUNCCUUUGGGGGUCCGAGNUGUAAUUUGNANAGGGUGCUUUGGCGNCGGCAGCGGUCUANGUUCCUUGGAACAGGACAUCACAGAGGGUGAGAAUCCCGUACGUGGUCGCCUGCCUUCGCCGUGUAAAGCCCCUUCGACGAGUCNAGUUGUUUGGGAAUGCAGCUCUAAAUGGGAGGUAAAUUUCUUCUAAAGCUAANUACCGGCCAGAGACCGAUAGCGCACAAGUAGAGUGAUCGAAAGAUGAAAAGCACUUUGGAAAGAGAGUCNAACNGCACGUGAAAUUGUUGAAAGGGAAGCGCUUGCANNCAGACUUGCUCGCAGUUGCUCAUCCGGGACCGCCCGGAGCACUCUUCUGCGAGCAGGCCAGCAUCANUUUGGNCGACCGGAUAAAGGCCUCUGUCAUGUAUCUUCCUUCGGGAUGACCUUAUAGGGGAGGCGUAAUGCGNCCAGCCCGGACUGACGUCCGCGCNUCUGCUAGGAUGCUGGCGUAAUGGCUGUAAGCGGC